Molecule: long non-coding RNA, 247 nt
Organism: Amphimedon queenslandica
Lineage: Eukaryota; Metazoa; Porifera; Demospongiae; Haplosclerida; Niphatidae
Exons: 3
Source: RefSeq, a predicted model, not a curated record
ACUGGUCUGGAGCUCCUGUCUGAAGCAGCUAAGAAACUGUGCAUAGCAGAUCAAGCAGAAACGCUUGGGAUCGCUAUUGAAAUCGACGAAGAGUACAUUUUUCUUGAGCCCGAUAAGAAAAUUUACAAGUAUGCUCCAACCGGUUGGAAGAAAUGGAAGCCCGGCUCUGGUAGAAAUAUGCCACGAUUUGUAGUACACCUAAGAGUGAUGUAUUUCCCGUUGAAUAUCAGCAUGUUGUCAAUGAGAG